GGACAGCCAACCCCUGCAGGGAAAAGUGGCACGUACCCAGACAGCCGCAGACUGUGCACGCGAGAAUGAUGGCCUCAAUCCGCCUGCAAGACUCUUCAGUGCCUGACAACGACGCCCUGACACAGCGCACUGCGGCCCCCGGGCCCUAAACGUGCGCAUUUUAUACCUCUGAUAAUCUAAUUACCUGCUACAGUCCUAACAGAAGAAAUUAGGUAUUAUGCAAGCCUUCCUGUGCAAGCAGGUAUGUUUCGACAAGUAUCCUACCGAUAAAAAAAUCCGGAAGACCUGGCCCGCAGAGAACAGCAACAAAGGCACUCCUUAUAUACAACAAAUGUUAUGUAUAUAUUGGCUACCUGGAACAAUACCCGUAUGCUUCAAAUUAGGCAGCAUGGUGUCUUGGCUGUUUCUAUAGGUGUUGCAGGAGGAGGACGAUGGCACCAUAGCAUAAGACGGCCUCCUGUGGUAACAAUUCAUACACCGUAAUACUUACCUGUCUGCACAAUGUGGAUUUGUUCAACUGCUUCUUGACUUCUCGGUGUUGCGUUGCUUUACCUCGCAAAUGGCUUGUCUGAAUUCAGCACGGCAUCUGAGUUCACAAUGGACGCCGAGAAAUGUAUAAUUAGGUCCCCUAGUAUGCUCAACCUUUUGUAAU
Molecule: long non-coding RNA, 652 nt
Filed under: Volvox carteri
Lineage: Eukaryota; Viridiplantae; Chlorophyta; Chlorophyceae; Chlamydomonadales; Volvocaceae
Description: long non-coding RNA (VCAR_LNC000949)
Source: RNAcentral